This 564-nucleotide ribosomal RNA is filed under the name Purpureocillium lilacinum. RNAcentral describes it as "eukaryotic LSU rRNA". It matches the Rfam family "Eukaryotic large subunit ribosomal RNA", at positions 58 to 646 of the family's 3401-position model. The record is from RNAcentral. Lineage: Eukaryota; Fungi; Ascomycota; Sordariomycetes; Hypocreales; Ophiocordycipitaceae.
AAAGAAACCAACAGGGAUUGCCCCAGUAACGGCGAGUGAAGCGGCAACAGCUCAAAUUUGAAAUCUGGCCCCCAGGGCCCGAGUUGUAAUUUGCAGAGGAUGCUUUUGGCGCGGUGCCUUCCGAGUUCCCUGGAACGGGACGCCAUAGAGGGUGAGAGCCCCGUCUGGUCGGACGCCUAGCCUGUGUAAAGCUCCUUCGACGAGUCGAGUAGUUUGGGAAUGCUGCUCUAAAUGGGAGGUAUAUGUCUUCUAAAGCUAAAUACCGGCCAGAGACCGAUAGCGCACAAGUAGAGUGAUCGAAAGAUGAAAAGCACUUUGAAAAGAGGGUUAAAUAGUACGUGAAAUUGUUGAAAGGGAAGCGCUUGUGACCAGACUUGGGCCCGGUGGAUCAUCCAGCGUUCUCGCUGGUGCACUCCGCCGGGUUCAGGCCAGCAUCAGUUCGCCGCGGGGGAAAAAGGCUUCGGGAACGUGGCUCCUACGGGAGUGUUAUAGCCCGUUGCAUAAUACCCUGGGGCGGACUGAGGUUCGCGCUCCGCAAGGAUGCUGGCGUAAUGGUCAUCAGCG